This 217-nucleotide ribosomal RNA is filed under the name Cylindrospermopsis raciborskii S07. RNAcentral describes it as "partial 23S ribosomal RNA". It matches the Rfam family "Bacterial large subunit ribosomal RNA", at positions 2712 to 2925 of the family's 2925-position model. RNAcentral also lists the same sequence under 1 other name. Lineage: Bacteria; Bacillati; Cyanobacteriota; Cyanophyceae; Nostocales; Aphanizomenonaceae. The record is from RNAcentral.
GUGUACCAGUUAUUCCGCCAGGAGUAGACGCUGGGUAGCCAAGUUCGGAGAGGAUAACCGCUGAAAGCAUCUAAGUGGGAAGCCCACCUUAAGAUGAGUGUUCUCACUACGAGAGUAGGUAAGGUCACGGGGAGAACACCCGUUAAUAGGCUUUAUGUGGAAGUACAGUAAUGUAUGUAGCAGAGAAGUCCUAACAGACCGAGGGCUUGACCUCAAA